GGAGAGUUGGCCGAGUGGUCUAAGGCGGUAGACUUAAGAUCUACUGGACGGUUGUCCGCGCGAGUUCGAACCUCGCAUUCUUCA
The sequence is a transfer RNA, 84 nucleotides long. It matches the Rfam family "tRNA". Rfam says of the family: Transfer RNA (tRNA) molecules are approximately 80 nucleotides in length. The record is from Rfam.